This 269-nucleotide ribosomal RNA is filed under the name uncultured prokaryote. RNAcentral describes it as "partial 16S ribosomal RNA". It matches the Rfam family "Bacterial small subunit ribosomal RNA", at positions 524 to 792 of the family's 1533-position model. The record is from RNAcentral.
GACGGAGGUGGCAAACGCUGUUCGGAAUCACUGGGCUUAAAGGGCGUGUAGGCGGCCGAUCAAGUCGGGUGUGAAAUCCCUCGGCUCAACCGAGGAACUGCAUUCGAUACUGGUUAGCUAGAGUGCGAGAGGGGUGAGUGGAACUCCAGGUGUAGCGGUGAAAUGCGUAGAUAUCUGGAGGAACGCCGGUGGCGAAAGCGACUCACUGGCUCGCAACUGACGCUGAGGCGCGAAAGCUAGGGGAGCGAACGGGAUUAGAUACCCGCGUA